RNAcentral lists this ribosomal RNA (253 nucleotides) under uncultured bacterium. RNAcentral's name for it is "partial 16S ribosomal RNA". It matches the Rfam family "Bacterial small subunit ribosomal RNA", at positions 524 to 776 of the family's 1533-position model. The record is from RNAcentral.
UACGAAGGGGGCUAGCGUUGCUCGGAAUUACUGGGCGUAAAGGGCGCGUAGGCGGCACUGUUAGUCAGGCGUGAAAUUCCUGGGCUCAACCUGGGGACUGCGCUUGAUACGGCAGAGCUAGAGGAUGGAAGAGGCUCGCGGAAUUCCCAGUGUAGAGGUGAAAUUCGUAGAUAUUGGGAAGAACACCGGUGGCGAAGGCGGCGAGCUGGUCCAUUACUGACGCUGAGGCGCGACAGCGUGGGGGGCAAACAGG